CUACGGGUGGCAGCAGUAAGGAAUAUUGCGCAAUGGAGGCAACUCUGACGCAGCCAUGCCGCGUGCAGGAAGAAGGCCUUAUGGGUCGUAAACUGCUUUUAUUUAGGAAUAAACCCUCGCUCGUGAGCGAGGCUGAAGGUACUGAAUGAAUAAGCACCGGCUAACUCCGUGCCAGCAGCCGCGGUAAUACGGAGGGUGCAAGCGUUAUCCGGAUUGAUUGGGUUUAAAGGGUGCGCAGGCGGGCUAUUAAGUCAGUGGUGAAAUCCCGGGGCUCAACUCCGGAACUGCCAUUGAUACUGAUAGUCUUGAGUUUGGUUGAAGUGGGCGGAAUGUAGCAUGUAGCGGUGAAAUGCAUAGAUAUGCUACAGAACACCAAUCGCGAAGGCAGCUCACUAAGCCAAAACUGACGCUCAUGCACGAAAGCGUGGGGAUCAAACAGGAUUAGAUACCCGGGUAGUC
This 459-nucleotide ribosomal RNA is filed under the name uncultured bacterium. RNAcentral's name for it is "partial 16S ribosomal RNA". It matches the Rfam family "Bacterial small subunit ribosomal RNA", at positions 339 to 795 of the family's 1533-position model. The record is from RNAcentral.